GACGAACGCUGGCGGCGUGCCUAAUACAUGCAAGUCGAGCGCAGGAAACUGACGGAACUCUUCGGAGGGAAGGCAGUGGAAUGAGCGGCGGACGGGUGAGUAACACGUAAGGAACCUGCCUCAAGCAUUGGGAUAACUCCGAGAAAUCGGAGCUAAUACCGGAUAGUUCAUCGGACCGCAUGGUCCGCUGAUGAAAGGCGCUCCGGCGUCACCUUGAGAUGGCCUUGCGGUGCAUUAGCUAGUUGGUGGGGUAACGGCCCACCAAGGCGACGAUGCAUAGCCGACCUGGGAGGGUGAUCGGCCACACUGGGACUGAGACACGGCCCAGACUCCUACGGGAGGCAGCAGUAGGGAAUCUUCCACAAUGGGCGAAAGUCUGAUGGAGCAACGCCGCGUGAGUGAUGAAGGUUCUCGGAUCGUAAAACUCUGUUGUAAGGGAAGAACACGUACGAGAGGGAAUGCUCGUACCUUGACGGUACCUUACGAGAAAGCCACGGCUAACUACGUGCCAGCCGCCGCGGUAA
RNAcentral lists this ribosomal RNA (524 nucleotides) under uncultured bacterium. RNAcentral describes it as "partial 16S ribosomal RNA". It matches the Rfam family "Bacterial small subunit ribosomal RNA", at positions 28 to 523 of the family's 1533-position model. The record is from RNAcentral.